RNAcentral lists this non-coding RNA (22 nucleotides) under Arabidopsis thaliana (thale cress). The record is from RNAcentral. Lineage: Eukaryota; Viridiplantae; Streptophyta; Magnoliopsida; Brassicales; Brassicaceae.
UCAAAAUAUUUUGGGUUGCUUC